This 253-nucleotide ribosomal RNA is filed under the name uncultured bacterium. RNAcentral describes it as "partial 16S ribosomal RNA". It matches the Rfam family "Bacterial small subunit ribosomal RNA", at positions 524 to 776 of the family's 1533-position model. The record is from RNAcentral.
UACGUAGGGUGCAAGCGUUGUCCGGAAUUAUUGGGCGUAAAGAGCUCGUAGGCGGUUUGUCGCGUCUGCUGUGAAAACGCGAGGCUCAACCUCGCGCCUGCAGUGGGUACGGGCAGACUAGAGUGCGGUAGGGGAGAUUGGAAUUCCUGGUGUAGCGGUGAAAUGCGCAGAUAUCAGGAGGAACACCGGUGGCGAAGGCGGGUCUCUGGACCGAUACUGACGCUGAGGAGCGAAAGCGUGGGGAGCGAACAGG